RNAcentral lists this ribosomal RNA (466 nucleotides) under uncultured bacterium. Its description in RNAcentral is "partial 16S ribosomal RNA". It matches the Rfam family "Bacterial small subunit ribosomal RNA", at positions 28 to 506 of the family's 1533-position model. The record is from RNAcentral.
GAUGAACGCUGACCGAAUGCUUAACACAUGCAAGUCCACUUGAAUUUGGGUUUUUAACUUAGGUUUGGGUGGCGGACGGGUGAGUAACGCGUAAAGAACUUGCCUCACAGCUAGGGACAACAUUUGGAAACGAAUGCUAAUACCUAAUAUUAUGAUAAUAGGGCAUCCUAUAAUUAUGAAAGCUAUAAGCGCUGUGAGAGAGCUUUGCGUCCCAUUAGCUAGUUGGAGAGGUAACGGCUCACCAAGGCGAUGAUGGGUAGCCGGCCUGAGAGGGUGAUCGGCCACAAGGGGAAUGAGACCCGGCCCUUCCCCCUACGGGGGGAAGCAGUGGGGAAUAUUGGAAAAGGGACCGGGAGUUUGAUCCAGCAAUUUUGUGGGCACGAUGAAUUUUUUCGGAAUGAAAAGUGCUUUCAGUUGGGAAGAAACAAAUGACGGUACCAACAGAAGAAGUGACGGCUAAAUACGU